CCCCUUUGCAUCUGCAACCGGGACGCCUAUAUUAGUUCUGUCCCCUCGGGGACUAUGGACAUAAACGCGCUCGUAAUAAGCGGAUCGGACCCGGGGGCGGUACCCGGCGACUCCACCAACAUCCCUUCAUUUGGGGGACAGCGGGGUCGAAAUAGGAUCGACGAACGUCUAAAGGGGUUAUGCUUUGUCUCGGCGGGGUGCCACCGUAUCGGCCCGAACAGUACAAUUGCAAAUGACAAUCGUGCUCCAGUAGCGAUGGCCGCGUAAGCGGUCGGAGAGACUGAAACUUAAGCCCUUGCGCCUAGCCGCGUAAGGCGGGGUUCGCAGGCACCUGGCAACAGAAGCCUGCACU
Molecule: transfer-messenger RNA, 352 nt
Filed under: Roseovarius pelagicus
Lineage: Bacteria; Pseudomonadati; Pseudomonadota; Alphaproteobacteria; Rhodobacterales; Roseobacteraceae
Description: Roseovarius sp. HL-MP18 transfer-messenger RNA
Rfam family: Alphaproteobacteria transfer-messenger RNA
About the family: Bacterial tmRNA, also known as 10Sa RNA or SsrA, is named for its dual tRNA and mRNA-like properties.
Source: RNAcentral